GAUGACCCUAGCGGCAGCCCUACACAUGCAAGUCGAGGGGGAGGUUACUUUCGGGUAACUGAGACGGCGUACGGGUGCGUAACGCGUAUACAAUCUGCCUUUCACUGGGGGAUAGCCCGAAGAAAUUUGGAUUAAUACCCCAUAGUAUAGUAGUGUGGCAUCACACAACUAUUAAAGCUUAGGUGGUGAAAGAUGAGUAUGCGUUCUAUUAGCUAGUUGGAGAGGUAACGGCUCCCCAAGGCGAUGAUAGAUAGGGGUUCUGAGAGGGAUGUCCCCCACACUGGUACUGAGAUACGGACCAGACUCCUACGGGAGGCAGCAGUGAGGAAUAUUGGACAAUGGUCGGAAGACUGAUCCAGCCAUGCCGCGUGCAGGAUGACGGCCUUAUGGGUUGUAAACUGCUUUUGUAAGGGAAGAAUAAGGGCUACGCGUAGUUUGAUGACGGUACCUUACGAAUAAGCAUCGGCUAACUCCGUGCCAGCAGCCGCGGUAAUACGGAGGAUGCGAGCGUUAUCCGGAAUCAUUGGGUUUAAAGGGUCUGUAGGCGGGCUUGUAAGUCAGAGGUGAAAGCGCUCAGCUCAACUGAGCAACUGCCUUUGAAACUGUUGGUCUUGAAUGGUUGUGAAGUAGUUGGAAUGUGUAGUGUAGCGGUGAAAUGCUUAGAUAUUACACAGAACACCGAUAGCGAAGGCAUAUUACUAACAAUUAAUUGACGCUGAUGGACGAAAGCGUGGGGAGCGAACAGG
RNAcentral lists this ribosomal RNA (746 nucleotides) under Capnocytophaga ochracea. Its description in RNAcentral is "bacterial SSU rRNA". It matches the Rfam family "Bacterial small subunit ribosomal RNA", at positions 28 to 776 of the family's 1533-position model. Lineage: Bacteria; Pseudomonadati; Bacteroidota; Flavobacteriia; Flavobacteriales; Flavobacteriaceae. The record is from RNAcentral.